GUCCCAAACCCAAUGUGAACGUUACCAAACUGUUGCCUCGGCGGGAUCUCUGCCCCGGGUGCGUYGCAGCCCCGGACCAAGGCGCCCGCCGGAGGACCAACCAAAACUCUUAUUGUAUACCCCCUCGCGGGUUUUUUUAUAAUCUGAGCCUUCUCGGCGCCUCUCGUAGGCGUUUCGAAAAUGAAUCAAAACUUUCAACAACGGAUCUCUUGGUUCUGGCAUCGAUGAAGAACGCAGCGAAAUGCGAUAAGUAAUGUGAAUUGCAGAAUUCAGUGAAUCAUCGAAUCUUUGAACGCACAUUGCGCCCGCCAGUAUUCUGGCGGGCAUGCCUGUCCGAGCGUCAUUUCAACCCUCGAACCCCUCCGGGGGGUCGGCGUUGGGGAUCGGCCCUGCCUUGGCGGUGGCCGUCUCCGAAAUACAGUGGCGGUCUCGCCGCAGCCUCUCCUGCGCAGUAGUUUGCACACUCGCAUCGGGAGCGCGGCGCGUCCACAGCCGUUAAACACCCAACUUCUGAAAUGUUGACCUCGGAUCAGGUAGGAAUACCCGCUGAACUUAAGCAUAUCAAUAAGGCGRAGGAA
This 578-nucleotide ribosomal RNA is filed under the name Trichoderma sp. PPRI 14670. Its description in RNAcentral is "eukaryotic LSU rRNA". The record is from RNAcentral. Lineage: Eukaryota; Fungi; Ascomycota; Sordariomycetes; Hypocreales; Hypocreaceae.